GUUUGACUUUUCGUCUUAUUCAAAAAAAUUUUACGAUUAAUAAUUUUAUUUUUAUUAAAUGAUAAACAUGAAUAGUAUUUUAUGUGUGGCUAAUUUUUUUAAAAAAUCUUAAAAAUUAUUCAAAUAAGAUGUAUAGUCAAAC
This 142-nucleotide microRNA precursor is filed under the name Oryza brachyantha (malo sina). RNAcentral's name for it is "MIR812 microRNA precursor family". It matches the Rfam family "MIR812 microRNA precursor family", at positions 32 to 174 of the family's 205-position model. Lineage: Eukaryota; Viridiplantae; Streptophyta; Magnoliopsida; Poales; Poaceae. The record is from Rfam by way of RNAcentral.